Molecule: long non-coding RNA, 872 nt
Filed under: Triticum aestivum (bread wheat)
Lineage: Eukaryota; Viridiplantae; Streptophyta; Magnoliopsida; Poales; Poaceae
Description: long non-coding RNA (TAES_LNC024373)
Source: RNAcentral
UAGGUUUUAUACAUACUAGUAGAAAUUGAUGCUGUUUCGUUGUUUCCAUUUCCUGAUUUGGUUUUGGUCAAGCGGUUUGUUGUAGCAGUAGUCCUCCAUAAAAGCGAGCCGGCCUUGUUGGUGGUGGAAAGCCAUUUUCUUUUCUUCGUCGAUGCACAUGGUUGCUAAAAGAUUCAUCAGGGUAUGAUUGGCAUCCGUCCAGCUCAUCGUAGUUCCUGGCUAAGGAUAACGUAUAACAAGCCGGGACGCCAUGGGAAGGCAUCCAGCCCAGCCAUCAAGGGCUUCCACCACCAAGCGAUCCAGGUUUAUUUCUUUCUUCACAUGAUCGAUCAUCUAUCCGUUUGUUGCUACCGACCUCAAACUUUAACAGAUUAAAAGUGCAGAUUAUCCAUUUCCUGCCGUAGCACGUCCACCAACCGGGGCAAUUCAUCAGACGACGCACGGCACGCACCGCAUCGUCUUCCCGAGACGCAAGUGCAGUGCGAGGCCGGGAAUUUUCUGCGGGCAUCUUCUCUUCCCUGCGGACGUGACGUGCGGCAUGUGAUCCAAGCGAUUCUGGGGUGGAUUCAUUUCCCGGGAAGCCGUCUAUUUCCCCAUCAAUACGUCGAGACGGCAUGGCAACGUCGGGAUGGUUACGCGCAGCGGCACGCUUGUUUACUGCUGACCGGGGGCUGAUUAGGACGGCGCGCACGGUGCACCCCGGAUCUUUUUGUUGGAUUCCCAAGUGGAACUCUCGGGAUUUUUCGCGCUGGAUUGAUUCACCCGCUCCGGACCCGAAACGAGCGGCUCUGUUGCUCAAGAGCGGCUCAGUGUUCCAUCUUUUUUUAGUGCUGUAGAGAGAAAAUAUAAUGUGUUUUGUUUUUCUAUACAAG